Molecule: ribosomal RNA, 500 nt
Filed under: uncultured bacterium
Lineage: Bacteria
Description: partial 16S ribosomal RNA
Rfam family: Bacterial small subunit ribosomal RNA
Source: RNAcentral
AUUGAACGCUGGCGGCAUGCCUUACACAUGCAAGUCGAACGGCAGCACGGGAGCAAUCCUGGUGGCGAGUGGCGAACGGGUGAGUAAAGUAUCGGAACGUGCCCAGUCGUGGGGGAUAACGUAGCGAAAGUUACGCUAAUACCGCAUACGAUCUAUGGAUGAAAGCGGGGGAUCGCAAGACCUCGCGCGAUUGGAGCGGCCGAUAUCAGAUUAGGUAGUUGGUGGGGUAAAGGCUCACCAAGCCGACGAUCUGUAGCUGGUCUGAGCGGACGACAGGCCACACUGGGACUGAGACACGGCCCAGACUCCUACGGGAGGCAGCAGUGGGGAAUUUUGGACAAUGGGCGCAAGCCUGAUCCAGCCAUGCCGCGUGCAGGAUGAAGGCCUUCGGGUUGUAAACUGCUUUUGUACGGAACGAAAAGGUUUGACUUAAUACGUUGGACUCAUGACGGUACCGUAAGAAUAAGCACCGGCUAACUACGUGCCAGCAGCCGCCGUAA